RNAcentral lists this ribosomal RNA (236 nucleotides) under uncultured bacterium. Its description in RNAcentral is "partial 16S ribosomal RNA". It matches the Rfam family "Bacterial small subunit ribosomal RNA", at positions 524 to 758 of the family's 1533-position model. The record is from RNAcentral.
GACAGAGGCCCCGAGCGUUAGGCGGAAUCACUGGGCUUAAAGCGUGUGUAGGCGGAUCGUUAAGUGUCUUGUGAAAUCCCACGGCUCACCCGUGGAACUGCUGGGCAUACUGGCGAUCUUGGGCCGUUCAGGGGCGACUGGAACAAGCGGUGGAGCGGUGAAAUGCGUAGAUAUCGCUUGGAACGCCGGAAGGUGAAAACAGGUCGCUGGGGACGCGCCGACGCUGAGACACGAAA